RNAcentral lists this ribosomal RNA (498 nucleotides) under uncultured soil bacterium. RNAcentral's name for it is "bacterial SSU rRNA". It matches the Rfam family "Bacterial small subunit ribosomal RNA", at positions 26 to 518 of the family's 1533-position model. The record is from RNAcentral.
AGGACGAACGCUGGCGGCGUGCUUAACACAUGCAAGUGGAGCGACGAACCGGGCUUCGGCCCGGGCAGAGCCGCGAACGGGUGAGUAACACGUGGGUAACCUACCCCAAUGACCGGGACAACCCGAGGAAACUCGGGCUAAUACCGGAUGUGUUCACGGUCUUCAAGGAUUGUGAGCAAAGGUAGCUUCGGCCUCCGCAUUGGGAUGGGCCCGCGGCCCAUUAGCUUGUUGGUGGGUAACGCCUACCAAGGCUGCGAUGGGUAGCUGGUCUGAGAGGACGAUCAGCCACACUGGGACUGAGACACGGCCCAGACUCCUACGGGAGCAGCAGUGGGAAUCUUGCGCAAUGCACGAAAGUGUGACGCAGCAACGCCGCGUGAGGAAGACGGCCUUCGGGUCGUAAACCCUUUCAGUUGGACGAAGGUCGGCGGUGAAGUAGCCGUCCGACUGACGUACCUCACAAGAACGCCCGACUAACGUACGUGACCAGCACGCCGC